UAAAAAAAUGCUUGCAACAUAUUAAGCAAAACACAAAUGCAAGAUAAAAAUUUGGAAAGAUCCAACUGUGUUAAAACAUGCUUAGCAAAAAAGACUCUAUGGAAACAUUCUAAUUUAUUAAAGGUGAUUAUCUCUGGAUGCUGGAAUAAUAAGUGAUUUUUAAACUACUUGUCUGUCCUUUCCAGGUCUGUAUUUGGUAAUUCAUUAAUUCUCCCAAAAACAAUUUUUAAAAAUAAAAUACAACCAAACUGACUAAAAGUAAAAAAACGAGAAAGCUAUGUAUAACUAAUCAAGCUGAAAUAGUGUUCUUCCAAACAUCAGCUAUCAAUAAAGCCAUGUGUUUCCUCUAAAUAGAAGAGAUAUAAUGGAAUUAGAAGCAAAAAAGCUAGUGGUAGGAUCUGCUUACUGUUUGUGUGGCCUUUAAAUAUUAUUAAAGUCUCUUGCCAUGAAUCUAGAUAUACUGAUUGCUUGUGUUUAAAAUCAACAUUAGCAAAAAUGUUUCUUAAAAACUUCUUAGUUGCCAGUUUGUAUAAUUGUGUUAAAAGUGCAUUUUAACAAUGAGCAUUAAUAGCUUUAGUGGCUGCAGAUUAAUAAAAGAGUCCUGUGCUUCCAUAGAGGGAACAUCUGAAGUAGGCAUUCCUUUUGUUUGGUAUUUUGUUUUAUCAGCAGCUGGUGGGGCUGGGGGAUGAGAGAGAAGGUGAGAAAUGUAGCCUGCACCUACCCAGCUUUAAGAGUGGUAGCAUCAUUUAUAAUUUCCCAGGAUUGAAUUGGUAACUCCUGCAGGGAGGAAAUUUCGCUGAGCUCUGAUUCUCUCCUGGGCUCCGCACACCUAAUUGUAUUUCUCCCAUACUGCGUUCCUGUUUGUCUCCUCAUUCAUCUUCUCUGGUGAGAUGACAACUCUGUCAGCACCCAUUUCCAAAUUCUAAUUUUCCUCCUCAUAACUUCUCACCUUACCGACCACAAACAGGAGAGAGGGAACCCAGCUGUUUUUAGCAGAUGCUUUAGAAAAAGACCAAACAGAAGCUAAAAUCCUGCAGGAAGGAAGACAGUUAGCUAAAUAAGGAUUGCAUCAGGGUUCUGUCUGCCUCUUCCUUUGUGAAGUUUGAUGGUUUAAUAACUUUAGGAGGUGUCAGUGUCUCAGAUGCAAAGACCAUCAUGAAAAAGUGGACUGAACUUCCAGGUCCCUUGCUCUGAAAUAUAAAUGCAUAAAAUGAACUUAUAAUUAUGAAAAGUUGAAUACAUUUCUAUUUAUUCCUGGAUGUUAAUGCUUCUAAUUCAGAAAAAGCAUCUGAUUAAUAACAGAGUUCUAAAUAAUAGAUCUGAUCCCUGUACUUAGCAUUUAGUUUUUCUUUCCUCAAAAAAAAAAACAAAAACAAAAAAACUCUGGAUUAUAACAUGUAAAAUAUAGUUAUUGUGAAAAAUUGGGAAACUACAGGCAAAGAAUGCUGUUUACUUAAUAUCAGUAUUCUAUAUUUUUUCUGAUUUGUUUCAGAGAAUCAAGCAACUGAAUAGAAUAAGUGUUUCAACAAACCUGGGUUUUAAUCAUGACUUGGCCACUUUCUGGCUGUGAUUAUGGACAAGUUUCUUCACCUCCCUAAAAGUUUUCUUUGAAUGAGAAUAGUCAUGCCUGCCUCAUGUAGUUGGCAUGAGAGUUAGAAAUAGUGUAUCCUUGGCACGUGAUAGGUGAUCAAUUAAUGUCACAUAUAAUAAUAUAACUACUAAUAACUACUAAUCACCUUUUAAGUUUAAGACUUUAAACAUUUUUAAAUGCCUGGGAAUUUCAACCCCAUUUCUAAUAGACAAAUAUACCUAGUGCAUGGAUCUGAGGAAGACACUACCAGUUUGUCAAAUGAGUGCACUUUCUCGAUGCCUCAGUAAGGGAUUUGCCACGUCUGACCUGCUCCUUAGUUUGUGAGAGCUCCCACCCAAUAGAAAAUCCCCAAAGGAGGAGGUCCAUUUCUCAAAUACCAUGAAACCCCACACAGCCAGGAGCUGCUCAAUGCAUACCCUCUGCUGCUGACACUGGCCCACAGAAAUAAUAAUUCAUGUCAGAUAUUGCUCAUUCAUCCUUCUCUUUCUGUCAGUGCAAAAAUCCUUGUAUAUCCCAGCUCUGUUUCACACAGUUUAGAAGUGGCCCCUGGUGUCCAGGAGAGCCUGAAUUGGCAAAAGCUGCCUCCACUAAUUGGAAAGUCUUUCUGGUGCUGUGUACUGUGUUGGUGGGAAAGCCUCCAGCUCCUGGGUUCUUAAUCAGAGCUGCACACUGACACAGUCUGAGGCCUUUUUUAAAAAAAAAGACUGAUGCUUGGGUCCCACCUACAGGAUUUCUGACUUAAUUGGUCUGGAGUUGGGCUCAGCUCUGGCUCACCUCACCCUGGGCUUCUGCCUUUUCAGUAGCCAUUGAAACCCUGUUACUGACCCUGCUCGGAGUAGUUAAGAGUCCAUGUGUGCUUUGGGAACUGGUUGUUUUAUCUUCUUCUUACUUCUAUUCCAACAUAGUUCCUCACCCAACUUUUUCAUCUCUAAUAUUUCUUUCUUCAGUCUCCAUGUUGGACCUGUAAACAAGGAAUUUCUGUGGGAAGAUUAAGAGCUGUUGUCCAGUGAAUUUGUAUUUCCUAAGUCCCUGCCUGUGCCCAGCACUGUUCUAGGCACUAUUUCAUUUAAUCUUCACAGCAAUCUUGCAAAGCAGGUGAGAGCAGCCUGUCUACUAGUGAGGAAACUGUGAUUCAUGGGGGCUAGUCCACUUACCCUGUAUCAUACAGCCAGGAAGAGCCUGGAUUCAAGUUCAGAUCAUUGUGAUUUCAAAACACUUCUUCUUUGUGCUCACCCUGCACCAUAAAAUCAGAGGUAGGGGAGAUGGUAGGCCGUUUAAAAGAGUGAAGCUGUGUGUAAUGCAGUAGGGGCAGGUGAGGACUGUGGCAAACUAGAAAUGGAUGCCCCAGUGAGAACAUUCAGAUGCAGAAUUUUUCAAACAUUGCAGGUUAACAAGACACACUGAAUUUGGCUUGUGGGCUACCAGCUUUUCAGGUUUUUUUCUCUUUUCCAACUUUGAAAAAUACCAUAGUCAUGCAAUUUCACUCUGCAACCACAUAGAAGAUGCAGAAGACUAUACUGUGUGGCCUUGAGUGGGAUAACUGAGAUGAAUGAGUGACAGAGGAAGGAGGAGGAUUCUGAUCUGGUAUGUUUAAUAGACCUUGCCAUCAGAGCUGCCCAGCAGAGGAACUCUGCACCAGAAGAACAGGGUGCUGAGCAGAGAGAAUGCUGCAGCACUCCUAAAGACAAGCUCCUCCCCAGGGACAGAAGGUACUGUUCUGUUAAACAUUUACUGAGCCUUUAGUAUGUGCCAUGCACUGUGCUGGGCACUGUGGGAACUGUCGAGAUGCAGGACCCUGGUGGAGGAGGCUGCAGUCCUCACUAGCCUGGUGUCACAUUAGCAGGUUUAUAUACAUUUGUUCUUUAACUUUUGUCAUAACCUUGAGAAGUAGUGCCAUUAACCCCAAUCAAAAGGUGAGGAUAUUGAGACUUAGCAAGAUUGAGAUACUUGUUCAAGGGCACAAGAGAGUGAAUGAUAGAGAGAGGACUUUAACUGAAAUUAAAAGUCUGUGCUUUUAAUGACUGUGCCAAAUAUCCUCCCUCAGUGGGGACGCCAGCUUGGAAUCCUGAGUCAUCACACAGGAAAUCUUUCCCAGCCCUGGUGUCCCAGAGCUCCAGCAUUAGCCCGCUGCACACUGGCCAAACCACAACAAGAAAAAGCAAAGCAACCUAAGAACUCCCAUCCACCAGCCCCCCCCUGGUUCCUGGGGUUGUGAUACAAGGACAGCAGUUAACUUGUUCCCAUCCAGUCAAAUACUAAGGAAGCCAGUUGCAAAUUGUCUUAAGUUUUUCACUCUGUCAUUUCUAAAGCAGAAAAUAAGGUAGGAGAUGUUCUGAGUGCAAGCACUGCACACCUUUUCUCAUUUCAAAUGUGACUUUGAGGUCAGCAUUACAGUAAAAUACCAAGAAACAAACAUAUUGAGGGGCAGUCUUGCAUUGUGAAGAGGACAUAGAGGGAGAGCUUAUGAGAUAUGAGUUUAAGUCCUGAUCCUACCACUUACUAGUUUGUAAUCUUGCAUUUCCCUUCAUUUCAGUGGGUUCUUGUUUCUGCAUGUAUAGAAAUGGGGCUUGCAGAUUGUUAUGAGUGUGUCACAGGUGCUCAAUAAGUUUGUGUUCCUUUCUUGAAAAAUAGCAGAAAAAUUGCUAACUGUGCCUUAAAAUUGGCAUAAGUUGAAAUCUUUCAAGAUUUACAAGAAUUGGCUUAUAAACUCAAUAUACCAGUCUAACAUGGGAUAUGAUCAUUUGAAGAGCAUAAUUAACUAAACUAGAGGAAGGGGAAGGGAAGAGGAAGGGCAACUGACACUGAUUAAGCCCCUGGCACAGGCCAGGCCGUGCUAGAUCUUUCAGGCAUUUCAUCUAACCCACACAGCAGCACUGUAAGAUGAGCAGUGGUACCCUCAUUCUCACAAAUGAUGACCCCUCAGACUGAGAGGCUAAGGAAACUGCCUGAGUAUUCAAGAUUAGAUUUGAACUCAGGUUCCCAGACUGCUCCAGCUCUUCUAGCAGGGACCAGAGUCUUUUGAUUCUUGUUGAAUAAAAGUUUCUUCUUAGGAGGCUGAGUUGAGUACAAACAUCGCAUCUCCCAUGCAUCUCUGAAGGCAGCAAUCUGCUGUUGUCCAAGUUAAUAGUUGCUCUUCCAACAGGAACUGGUGUGGACUUAUAUUUCUAAAAUUUCUGGUGUAUUCUCUCUACUCUAUAAAAUUUGGAAUAACUCCUGAUGAAAGAUAUUGAUAUUAUGACUUAUUUUUACAUGGAAAAGUAGGCUGUACGUUCAUAAGUGUGCAUUCAUAACUGUAAUUUGAGUGGCUUACAUUUACAAGUUUUUCAAUCAUUAUAGUUUUGGGGGGAGGACGUAUUCUUCUGGGAAGUUUAUUGAGAGUCCCACUGAAAUUAAGCCUCUCUUGCGCUAAAUAUAUGAGUUACCCAGUUUUACCAGAAGGCCUUAUCUGGUCCUGUUUCUUUCUGCUUUGCCCAGGGAAUUUGAAUAGUUGAUGUAGAAAGGAGAAAGGAGUUGGAGAUCUAGAAUUGGUAGAAUUAAGCAUUGUGUUGAGAAUUGUGACUGAGCCCUUCAAGAGACCUUUGUCUGACUUAAGCAUCUAAGAAUUCAAGCCUUGUUUUUCCUUCUCAUCCAUAAUGACAGCAGUGGGCCACAGAUGUCACAUGCUUUGCAUGCACCACCUCAUCUGUCUUUUUGGGAUUCUUCACAUGGUGGAAGAAUCAUCACUCACAGAAUUCAGAUUGCAUUCCGCUUCCCAGAGAAUUAGCUUUCAGUGGGCAGAAACUGAGUUUCUAUGUCUAAACACUACAGCAAAGAAUUUGACUAAUUGAACAUGAGUUUCUGUUCUCCUCACAAUAAUUUACUGCAGGCUAAUUGUUACACAUUUAAAUACUUUGAAUAAAUGAAUUAAAAGCCAGUUUUCAUCUUUGUUCAUCCGAUUCAUUAGGUGAUUUCAUUUUAGGAUAUGAGGAAGUAGAUGUGAUUCAUUGUGCAACAAAUGAACAAUUCACUCAUUUAUGUAAGGAGUAAGUAUUGGCUUGGCUAUCUCUGUGCUAAAAGAUGGGAUGAUUUGUUUCCCCUCCCCACUGCCAAGGUGACCACUGGGCAUACGGUCAGUGGCCACACAACACAAAUGCUGAUGGUGGAGCUAACUUAAUACAAAGAUAUUGCUUUGUAUUCAGGGUCACCUUCAUGCGCCAUAAAUAGAAAAUUAAGUAUGGUCCUAAAAGUAAAUACAGUAAGAAAAAAAACCUCUUUCAUAGUGCUUUAUUUUUGCAAGUGCUUUGGUAUGUGUUCUACACUUUGAUUGUUACACAACAACCCUGGAUGUCAGUAUUAUUAUUAUCCCCAUUUGACAGGUGAGAAAAGUAAAGUUCAGGGGACAUUAGUGCAUUGUUCAGAGAUACCCAGCUUGUAACUAAUAGAGACAGACUUGGAACCCAGGCCUCCUGAUGCCAAAAUGUUAUGCUCUUUCCAUUAUAGCUGCUGUAAUUAACAUAAACGGGCAGAAUGGGGAGAAAAAGAAAAGGUCGACCUAACGCUGUGUCUUUUGGCUGUUCUAGCUCCUAUCACAGGAGGCAGCCUGCCUCCAGGGGCUAAAACAGGGUGUGGUGUGUGGGAGGCUAGGCUGGGAGAUGAGCCUUGUCCCUGCCCGUCAUCCUCAAUGUGGGCACCAGGGAAAGCAGGAGCUUGGGGAAACCAUCCGUCUCCUGGGCCUGAGUAGGGAGGGGGAACCUGGGUGCAGCAUGAGGCAGGUGAGGACAAGGAGAUUCCCAGGGGAGGGGAUUUCACCACUCUGAGGUGAGAGCUGAGGGCUUUGGGCACAGGCAAAGAGGCGGCAGUCAGAGGCUCCAGGCGCUCCGAUGAUCGCUGCGACCCCGACCCCGACCCCGACCCUGAGUACUGUCUUUGCUCUCGCUCCCGGACACAUCCCUCUCCCAAGCAGCCUGCUGUGCGCUGCCCUGGGAGCGGCCCUCCUCCGGCUCCAGCGCGGCGGGCUCUAAAUGGGCCGAACCUCUGAAGUAUCCGCCUCAGAAAGGAGUCCUGGGAGGGAAAAUGGGGCUCUUGUUUGUUUGGAGCUACAUAAAAGGCUGUUACAAUUAUUUUCAGUCCGGCAGCCACUUUCUGGGAGGAUUCCGUAUGGUAAUAGAUGUAUUUACCACAACUGGUUUUUCUCCCAGUUGUGAAAAGCGGGGUGAACCUUAGACCCUCUUCCUCCUGUCAACCUUCUUUCUGAAAUAACUGAUUAAUAACCUUGUUACUUCCGAAGGGAGGGAUUCCUAAUCCUGUAACUAGUGUGAGCUGUAUCAGAAAGCUUUGGGUGGGUUGGUGGGUUGAUUGGUUGACUGAAUUUUUGUAGUUCUCCUGACUCCCCCCUCUUCCCUACCGGAUGAAUCAGUGUUGUAGCAAAGGCUUUAGCACCACACAGACCAGGGUUCAAAUCCCAGCUUUGCUGUUGAUUAUCUGUGAUUUGUGAGCCAGUAACUCUCCGAUCAUCAAUGAUCUCAUCUGUAAAAUGGUAGAAAUGCUACCAACCCGACAGAGGUGUAAAAAUCACAUGAAUACUGCAGUUAAAUGCUUACCAUAAAGUUAUACUCAGUGAAAUAAGCCAGACACAGAAGGACAAACGUUGUAUGUUUCCACGUAUAGGAAGAAUCUAGAGCAGUCAAGUCCACAGAGACGGAAAGAAUGGUGGUUGCCAGGCACUUGGCGGGGAGGGGACGCAGGUUAGUGUUUAAUGGGUACAGAGUUUUAGUUGGGGAAGAUGACAGAGUUGUGGAGAGAGACAGUGGUGAUGGCUGCACAACAGUUUGAAUAUACUUGAUGCCACUGAGCUGUACACUUAAAAAUGGCUGAAAUGGCAAGUGCUGCCCUAUGUUAUGUAUAUUUUACCGCAAUAAAAUAAACCCGUCUUUAAUGUUUACAGUGCCACUUGGCCAACAAUAAGUAAUAAAGGGCACUUUUGAUCCUGUGUCCCAGUCUUGGCACACUUCUAUCAGAUGUCAUUUUUCACACUGUAUUUUAUCCUCUGUGUCUGUCAUGACUUCCGUCUCCCAGAGUGUGAGGACUGUUGAUUAUCUCUUCUUCAUCCAUCCCAUCUCCAUAGCGUCUGGCACCUAGUAAGCACUCAGUAAAUGAUCUGGGGGAAGAGAGAAGGUUAUUAAUACUCUUCCCCUUUCAUCUUUUACAUCUUAGAGCCUCUAAACACAGCGGUACUAAGUCACUUAUUUCUCUUGGGCGCUAGAAUAUCGUUAUUUGUACCAAAAUAAUGAGCUCACACUACUGUACAAAUGUAUUAGUUUCUUUAAUCUUCAAUAAAUGUGGGAGAAAUUUCUCUAAAUUAAGUCUCUGAGGAUUGACUCCAUGCCAUUCUUAAGGAGUUCUAGUUUGCUCUAAAAAUAUAGAGGGAAUAAAAAUGGAGUGUAAACGUUGCUGUUCCUUUAGAAGGAAAUGAAUCCUAUAUAGAGAGCAUCUUACCUGCAUGGAACUGGAGCCCCGCACAGUCCAAUCUAGUGUCAUUUCAAAGAAACGGCAGUCAGAUGCCGUAGCUUUGAAGAAUCCUGCAGAGCAUUAAUGAAGUUUCCUGACAGUGGUGACUGGGGCGGGGGGUUGGGGGUGGGGACUCACAACACCUCACACAGAAAAUCUCUCAACAGUGUAUCUCUUUGCAUCUCCUUAAACCUCCCCAUUCACAGGAAUUACUAAAAUCAAUCUCCAACUUCUCUCCCUCUCUCUUCCCCCUCCCUUCCUGCCCUUCCCUCUCCUCCCUACUCUGUUCUCAUCCAUCUCUGCCAACCCUCACCCAAAGUCCAGGCUCCUUGGACUUGACUGUCCCCUCUGUACACACUCCCUGGGAGGCAUGGCCAAGUCCCCAGCUCUGACUGGUACCCAGCCAGAAUCGGCACAUUUUCAUCCCCCUCCCUGAAACUCUGGUGAAUAAAAUUAAAAUUCUGCACCUUGUGAAACGCUGAGGAGUCCCAAUGCCAAGCAUUUUGGGGCUGUACUGCGGGAGACCCAUUUGGCUGUGAUUAUACCAGUUCCAUCUUUUUUUUUUUGCCCACCCUCAUUUUACAGGACAAGAAAUCAGUACUAAAUCACAUCAGUUCGUUCUUUCUCUGGGUAAGUGCUUUCCAGCUUUUUUCAGCUGUGCACCCUCAGACCCUACUCUUCUCAGGCCCUCUCCAAGGAAACAUGACUGGUCACAGCCCUGCCUGGUCACUCGUGGGGAUCAGGGCAGCUCCUGGCCCAGCUGUAACCUCCACAUGACUCAUGUACAUGUUAGGUGGGAUGCUCUGCUCUGGACAAUAAGAGAAGUCUAGGUGUGUGAAUUGUCAAUUCAUUGGACCUCUCUGCACUUGUAUAAAUGAGGGGCCUAACUGGGUUGUAUGUUCUGAAGUCUCCCCCAGGCCUAAAAGUCUACGUGUCUGUGGUUAACACAGAAAGCCACCUGUACUCAAAGCUAAGAUUCAGCCUCUGCUUUCUUCAGGCUUCCUUUGAAGCUUUAUUUCCCCAAGACCAAAAUAUUUUAUUCACCCUCUUCGGAACCCUCUAGAAGUCUUUAGUUUAAGGCUUCAAAAAUGACCAUCCACACAGAUUACCAAGACCCCCCCCCACCCACA
Molecule: non-coding RNA, 9207 nt
Organism: Vicugna pacos (alpaca)
Lineage: Eukaryota; Metazoa; Chordata; Mammalia; Artiodactyla; Camelidae
Source: RefSeq, a predicted model, not a curated record